CCUACGGGCGGCAGCAGUGGGGGAUAUUGCACAAUGGGGGGAAUCCUGAUGCAGCGACGCCGCGUGGGUGAAGAAGCGCCUCGGCGCGUAAAGCCCUUUCAGCAGGGAAGAAAAUGACGGUACCUGAAGCAGAAGCCCCGGAUAACUACGUGCCAGCAGCCGCGGUAAUACGUAGGGGGCAAGCGUUAUCCGGAUUUACUGGGGGUAAAGGGGGCGCAGACGGCGAUGCAAGCCAGGAGUGAAAGCCCCGGGCCCAACCCCGGGACUGCUGUUGGAACUGGGUGGCUGGAGUGCAGGAGGGGCAGGCGGAAUGCCUGGUGUAGCGGUGAAAUGCGUAGAUAUCAGGAGGAACACCGGUGGCGAAGGCGGCCUGCUGGACUGCAACUGACGUUGAGGCACGAAAGCGUGGGGAGCAAACAGGAUUAGAUACCCGGGUAGUC
RNAcentral lists this ribosomal RNA (440 nucleotides) under uncultured bacterium. RNAcentral describes it as "partial 16S ribosomal RNA". It matches the Rfam family "Bacterial small subunit ribosomal RNA", at positions 338 to 795 of the family's 1533-position model. The record is from RNAcentral.